UGGACGAAGAGAAAACAGAGGGGCUGAGUGAGAGUAGAAAAAACCAGAGAAAAACCAGGAAAAGAAAGAAAACAAAUGGGGUUUCAGUUGAGAGCUUUGGCGGCUAGGGGUUGCAAGAAAGCUUCAGGUAAGGAAGCUGCGGAGGAAGAAAGAAAAAGCUACGCGAGCAAAGCGAGGAAAAAACUAAGAGAGGAGCUGGGUAAGAGUUUCGGGAGGCAAGCAGGGACGGGCAAGAAAAAGGAACAAAAAGAGGGUUUUUUCUGGGCUGAAAAGAGAGAGGAGAGGCUGCGGGGAAAGAAAAAGAGAGAAAGGAAGGGCUGGGUUAGUUGAGAAGAAAAACAGGAGAGAAAACAAGAGAGCUGGAAAAUGAAGGAAGAAACAGAGGGGGUUGGAAUUUGGAGAGGAUCCGAGAGGAAAAACAGGGAGUAAAACAAAAGGAAAGAGAGAAAAUGGAGAGAGGAAGAGCAGAAAAAAAAUCUACAAAAAUUCCAUGAACCAGCCUGGUUCUGUCUCGAAUUCCAGCGUAUAUGUUAGGGUUUUGAGAGAAAUCUAGCUUUCUACACCAUCUAUGGGAACCCAUGAAUAGAUUUUGUUCAGAAAUCGUCCAUUAAAAAGGCCUCCAAGGUGAUCCAAUCAAGACCCAAAGUGUCGGAUCCGUCAUUGCUGAAGCUGUCUGCGACGAAGCUCUCAACCUCAUUUCUAGAAUUAGCACACAUUUUUUGAGCAAUAUCUCACGUUCAAUCGACCACAUAAGCACUCUCAGGUAACCAUGAACCUUCUCCUUGCUGAUUUAACACGUUUUCAUGAAGAUCUAAGCCAUUGGACAUGAAACUCUGGAAUAUCUGUUUUCAGCUUGAUGAGCUUGUUCCGUCCCUCUGUUAUAUUGUUUUGAGACAUUUUUCUUGCUGAAUAUUCUUUGUUUGGUUGAUGAAUCUUUGAUGUGUUGGAGUAUGAAAAUAAAAUGCAUGAAGUACAUGAUAUUGUUUGGUAAGAUAGUUUGUUUCAUGCGUUGGCUGGGAUGAAACCCAGAAGAUUGCGGAACUUUUGUUGCAGAAGAUUUGCGUUUUGCUCAUUGAAUUUCUAUGAUUUUGCCGCUUAAAACCAAGGCUUUGUUGUUAAUUGAGAAUUUAGUUGUAUUUAGCAAAGAGAAAUUUGCACUGUAAACACAGAUAGUGGCAGAAAAAGCAAAUUGGGGAAGGAGAAGAGCUCUUCGAUGCUUUGCAUGAAUAAUCUAGAAUUUUGCGUUUUAGCCCCUCAAGUUCUAUGUAAUGCUACUAUGGCCCAGAAGAUUGGAAAAGUUAAUCAUUUCUGUCCUUUUAAAUGUUAAUUUUUAUUUGGCAUGUUUUUAUGUGAUUUUUGGAUAGAUUAUUGGUGAAUUUUAGGAUGAAUUUUGAAGUUUAACAAUUUUUGAUAGAUUUGUAGCUUUUGAUUUGGAUUUUUGUAAAAAUGGUUUAGAUUUGGGUAAUUUUGUUGUUUAAUUAUAGCAGAUGGGUUUUCAUUUAUUUUGUGAAUCUUAGCAUUUGGUUUUGAUAGGUUUCAUCUUAAGCCAUUAAUUUUAUUUUAAUUUUAAUUUAAACCCUAAUAUUUGUAAAAAUAGUGAUUUGACCCCUAAAACUUCUUUAAUUCUUUCAAUUAGGUCCUUGUUUGUUUUAAUUUGUUGGAUAUGGGUUGUUUACUUUUAUUUGAAUGCUUUGAUAGCUUCCAUUUUGUGUUUAUUUUCAUUUCAUGUGAUUAUUUGUUAAUUAAAGUGAUGCCUUGACCUUUUAAUUUGUUUUUUAGGGUAAAUAAGAAAAACUUCAUUUCAUUAGGUUACCAUUUCAAGGGAGGUACACUCUAC
RNAcentral lists this long non-coding RNA (1837 nucleotides) under Coffea arabica (coffee). Its description in RNAcentral is "long non-coding RNA (CARA_LNC007765)". Lineage: Eukaryota; Viridiplantae; Streptophyta; Magnoliopsida; Gentianales; Rubiaceae. The record is from RNAcentral.